UCAAGAAAGACAUACCAAUACAUACAAAACGGCAAUGGAAAAGGAAAAAUGUCUGCCUUCCUAAGUUCCCUUCCCUAAUCCCUAAUAUUUCUUUGAGUCUUUCUAGCAAUUGGAGUCAUUGGAAUAUCAUCCUUCAUCCCUCCUUCGACAGUUUUUAGACCCUGCUGUUUUUAGCCGACGACCAAUUUAGUCAAGACUCGAGAGAUUUUGUGAAAGCUGCUUCCGCUUCCCAUCGUUGUCACCACUUCUAGCCGUUGCUAUCACCAUCCACCCCUAAACGGAGUGACAACUAAUAAGGCACAACUAAAGCUUAAAAGACGCUGCCUCCAACUUGUAAUCACCAAGGAACUCCUCUGGUUGUAAGCUCCAGCACCAGCUCCAGAACCUUAGAAUCUUUUAUCGUCGUGGAUCGUCAAGACGAACUCGCUCUUCACAAAUCGGAACUCGAGGAGACAGACAGACAGACUUCUUGACUCUACUGUUCACGUGGAAAUUUGCAAGCGUACGGAUCGUUGACAAGUAAUAAAAAUCGGUGAGUUUCAAAUUUAUCGUUUCCAUUAGAAAUAAGGUAUAAUAUCAAGUUCAAUAAUUU
Olea europaea var. sylvestris is the source of this 592-nucleotide long non-coding RNA. RefSeq lists it as uncharacterized. Lineage: Eukaryota; Viridiplantae; Streptophyta; Magnoliopsida; Lamiales; Oleaceae. The transcript is spliced from 3 exons. The record is from RefSeq and is a predicted model, not a curated record.